This 23-nucleotide non-coding RNA is filed under the name Arabidopsis thaliana (thale cress). Lineage: Eukaryota; Viridiplantae; Streptophyta; Magnoliopsida; Brassicales; Brassicaceae. The record is from RNAcentral.
GACAAGGAAGAGAGGAUGAUAUA